GAUGAACGCUGGCGGCGUGCUUAACACAUGCAAGUCGAACGAAACACCUUAUUUGAUUUUCUUCGGAACUGUGGAUUUGGUGAUUGAGUGGCGGACGGGUGAGUAACGCGUGGGUAACCUGCCCUGUACAGGGGGAUAACAGUCAGAAAUGACUGCUAAUACCGCAUAAGACCACAGCACAGCAUGGGGCAGGGGUAAAAACUCCGGUGGUACAGGAUGGACCCGCGUCUGUUUAGCUGGUCGGUGACGUAAAGGCGCACCAAGGCGAGGAGCAGUAGCCGGCUUGGGGGAGUGACCCACCACAAUUGAACUGCGACACAGCCCAAACUCCUACGCAGGGCAGCAGUAGAGUAUAUUGCGCGAUGGGGGAAACCCUGAUGCAGCGGCGCGGCGUAAGUGAAGAAGUAGUUCGUUAUGUGAAGCUCUAUCAGCAGAGAAGAGAAUGACGGUACCUGACAAAGAAGCCCCGGCUAACUACGUG
Molecule: ribosomal RNA, 481 nt
Filed under: uncultured bacterium
Lineage: Bacteria
Description: partial 16S ribosomal RNA
Rfam family: Bacterial small subunit ribosomal RNA
Source: RNAcentral